RNAcentral lists this ribosomal RNA (248 nucleotides) under uncultured bacterium. RNAcentral's name for it is "partial 16S ribosomal RNA". It matches the Rfam family "Bacterial small subunit ribosomal RNA", at positions 85 to 334 of the family's 1533-position model. The record is from RNAcentral.
AAGAUGGCGACCGGCGCACGGGUGAGUAACACGUAUCCAACCUGCCGAUAACUCUGGAACAGCCUUUCGAAAGAAAGAUUAAUACCGGAUGGCAUACGAAUAUCGCAUGAUAUUUUUAUUAAAGAAUUUCGGUUAUCGAUGGGGAUGCGUUCCAUUAGUUUGUUGGCGGGGUAACGGCCCACCAAGACAACGAUGGAUAGGGGUUCUGAGAGGAAGGUCCCCCACAUUGGAACUGAGACACGGUCCAA